GCAUUCGAACGAAUAAUAUUUCGUUGCACUUAGUCAUUGACGUGUCAUAAUGGCGAUCUUUCUUUAAUUAAUAUUAAUUUGUAACAAGAGUCGGUUGUAAUUAAUUAAAUCUUCUUUUCUGUCCUUCCUAUCUUUCGUUUUUUUUUUCUAUUUCUCAUUUCUCAACUUCAGUCUUACAAUGGUCGAGUUAAGAGACAGGGCUUUGACAUUAAUCUUGUGUUUUUUUUUCUUUUUUCUUUUUUGUUUAUUUCUUUCUUCUUAUUUUUUUUCUUCCUUUUUUUUCUCUCCUUCUUUCUGUUUUUCUAUUCAUUGACUUUUAUACUCGCAGCGCGAACUUUACGUUCCUCGGAUUUUAAUAGUUACCGUUUUCAUCUUUCAUUUCGUUUGUGUGGACUCUUUGAAGAGAAAGAGAGAGAGAGAGAGAGAGAAAAAGAGAGAGAGAGAUAGAG
Molecule: long non-coding RNA, 449 nt
Organism: Vespula pensylvanica (western yellowjacket)
Lineage: Eukaryota; Metazoa; Arthropoda; Insecta; Hymenoptera; Vespidae
Exons: 3
Source: RefSeq, a predicted model, not a curated record